Long non-coding RNA from Bombus huntii, 1452 nucleotides. RefSeq lists it as uncharacterized. Lineage: Eukaryota; Metazoa; Arthropoda; Insecta; Hymenoptera; Apidae. The transcript is spliced from 2 exons. The record is from RefSeq and is a predicted model, not a curated record.
AACGUUGUAUUGAAACAAAAAGAUGGAUGAUUUAAACAUUUUUAAAUAUCGACUAGUGUAAACACUCGUUUGAUUCAUAUUUAUGCUAGGGAUUUUUUAGAAUAUGUCCAUGGUGAAGAUGUGAUUGGUUACUAUGAAAUUGGACUAGAGGUUAAGAUUAUAAAGGUUAUCUUUGUAUAAUAUGCGGCGCCGACUAGAUGACCUGUAGGUACGAAUGCCGCUUAUAGAUGGCGACCACAUGACGAUCGGCACCCCAUAUAUCAGGCUGUAGUCAAUAAUAUAUUUUUUCUUUACCGGCAGAAAUUUUCUGUUGCUUUUAUUGAUAUAUUGGAUUAAUCGACGAAAGCUUGAUGUUGUACAAAGACCGCUAAUCUUACAUUCCAUCGAAGAGAAGUCGGUUUGGUAUAAAAUCAUAUGUGCUCUGUAAUUGUAAAACAAGCUACGUGCAAGACCUUAUAAUUUAUAGCGGAAGCUCAACAAUUUUAGAAAGUGCAAUCACGGGGAUUGGAAAAUCGGGAGCAAUAGUCUUGUCCCUUUUGAAACCAUACUUAGGAAAAGGUCACACAGUUUAUCUAGAUAACUUUUAUUCGAGUCCAGCAUUAUUUAACUUUUUACAUAAUAAUUAUACCAAUGUAUGCGGGACCGUGAAUAAAAGACGGCAAGGAAUGCCGAAGUUUGAAGAGCAUUUGAAAAAAGGAGAGGCAUGUUUUCGUACAUCAAAUACUUUGUUAGCGAUGAAAUGGAUAGACAAAAAAGAAGUUUAUAUGAUUGCGAGUAUGCAUACUGCAGAUUUUGCAGCGGUAUCUAGGUAUGGAGAACAACAGAGUGUGCAGAAACCUGUGUGUGUUAUAAGUUAUAAUAAGUCAAUGGGCAUAAUAGACAAAGUUGAUAUGGUUCUAAGCACUGUUAAUUCAACGCAUAAAUUGUUGAAGUAGUACCGUAAAUUUUUCUUCCACGUCAUAGACAUUUGUGUGUGGAAUGCAUAUUAUGUUUGUAAGUACAAUUGACGAGAAACCAUUUCCAUGGCAAAAUUUCAGUUAGGAUUAAUAAAACAAAUAAUUGCAAAGUAUCUGCACAAUGUAGUUCAGCGUCAAAGCAGACUCAUUGACAAUCCAAAGAGGUUAACAGAGAGACAUUUUCCCUUAUUCUAUGAGCCAAAAAAUAAAAACCGAAAACGAAGAUGUGUCAUUUAUAGAAAAAAUGAUAAAAGAUCCGAAUCACAAUAUGAGUGUAAAGAUUGCAAUGUUGGCUUAUGUAUAGACCCUUGUUUCAAAAUAUAUCAUUCAGAAUUAUGUUACUAAUCUUUACAUAUUAAUAUAUUAACUAAUUUACUUUUCAUAAUUAAUUAUAUUAAACAUUUUAUCAUAAAGUCUUGUAAAUAUGUAAAUAUGCAAUAUAUUACCUGUAAUUUUGUAAGCCUUUUCAUAUUAAAGAUGUAAAUUAUACUUAUCA